UGGACAUGCAUACAUAUAACACACACA
RNAcentral lists this non-coding RNA (27 nucleotides) under Mus musculus (house mouse). Lineage: Eukaryota; Metazoa; Chordata; Mammalia; Rodentia; Muridae. The record is from RNAcentral.